UCGCUCUUUUUGUGGCACAAAAUUGGGUUCCCAAUGUUUGAUAGAAAGAUAAUGCCCGUUAAUAAAUCAGGGACCAUUUUGUAGAACUUGAGAUACACUACUUGAUUGAGUAAACUUUGCAAUAAAAAACCCCAAUCCAAGGUCAAUCAAGGGAAAAACCUCCGGAAGCUUCCAUAAAGAUAUCAAUUUUUCACGGAGAUAUUGGUGGGUUACCUUUGCAUCCAACAGUUUGAUAACGAGGGAAUGCUUCCAUGGAGAACAUAGUUUAGCCGUGUCCUCCUUAGUAAGCUGUAUAACUUUAAUUCCAUUGGAUACACCCACAGCUUCGUCGUCAACGCCGUUGCGAAUUUGGUCCUUCGGGCAGUCAAAGGGGUGGAUUUAGUUGGUUGUAUAAAAAAAUAUAUAUGGAUCUAUAUACAUUUUUGAUACAUAGUUAUGCAUCAUAUAUAUAUAUAUAUGUGUGUAGAGAGAGAGAUACAAUAUCGAUACACAUUUAUACACUAUUUAUACAAUAUCAAUAAAUGCUUAUACACCAUUUAUACAAUAUUGUUACAAAUUUAUACCUUAUUUAUAAAAUAUUGAUACAUGUUUAUACAUUAUUUAUACAAUAUUAAUACAUUACAUAUACACUACAUAGCUAUUUAUGCAAUAUUGAUAUAUUACAUAUAUACUACAUAACUAUUUGUACAUCAAAUAUACAUGUUUAUAUCGAUACACUAUACAUACAUUACAUAACUAUUUGUACAUCAUAUAUACAUGUUUAUACACUAUUUUAUAUAAUAUUGAUACGUGAAAAAAGUUGUACGAAA
This 809-nucleotide long non-coding RNA is filed under the name Capsicum annuum. Its description in RNAcentral is "long non-coding RNA (CANN_LNC004377)". Lineage: Eukaryota; Viridiplantae; Streptophyta; Magnoliopsida; Solanales; Solanaceae. The record is from RNAcentral.